CUCUUUAGGCAGAUUAUAAUAGCAAAUCAUUAAAAUCCUAACCUUGCUUCUCUUCAUUGAGCAAACUCAAUUUUCUUUAUUAUGGCCAUUGAACUACACAACAGAGAUUCAUCAUUGCUUCCACCUCCUCAGUCUCAGUUUUUCACUGAUGAUAUUCUCUCAGGGAACAACAACAAACACCUUAACCUAACCUGGUCUUCUUGCUUUAGUUCCUCUGAUUUUGGUUCUGCUCUGAGCUCACCUGUUGGGUCAGAACUUGGUUCAAGUCAGUCGGAGAGUGACCAAGACGACGAUUACAUUUCUGAGUUGACUCGCCAAAUGUCUCACUACACGCUCCAAGAUGAUGAGAGCAGACAUGAAAAUGAG
RNAcentral lists this unclassified non-coding RNA (366 nucleotides) under Hevea brasiliensis (rubber tree). Lineage: Eukaryota; Viridiplantae; Streptophyta; Magnoliopsida; Malpighiales; Euphorbiaceae. The record is from RNAcentral.